Molecule: long non-coding RNA, 330 nt
Organism: Cyprinus carpio carpio
Lineage: Eukaryota; Metazoa; Chordata; Actinopteri; Cypriniformes; Cyprinidae
Source: Ensembl
GAGGAAAUUACAAAUCAAAAGGGGGACUCUUUGAAAACACACUCAGCUCACUGAUCUCAGCUGAUUCAAGUAAACUAAAGGACUCUGUGAUUGGAGCAGACAGGUCUGAUGGAGCCUACAGCAGAUCAGCACAGUUAGAACAGAAGGAGCUGUGACGUCUACACCACAGGAGCAAGAGAGACAGAAAGAAAGAGAAAACUGAGAAAGCAAAAUGAUCUGCAUUACCACAAGACAUGCAUUAUUCGUGCAGCCGAGGCAAACAACAACAGCCACCAGUGUGACGGUUUGUAUUUAUUGUGCCUGUCGUACAUGACCUAAUUAUUAUAGAAC